UGGGGAAUAUUGCACAAUGGGCGCAAGCCUGAUGCAGCCAUGCCGCGUGUAUGAAGAAGGCCUUCGGGUUGUAAAGUACUUUCAGCGAGGAGGAAGGCGUUGUGGUUAAUAACCGCAGCGAUUGACGUUACUCGCAGAAGAAGCACCGGCUAACUCCGUGCCAGCAGCCGCGGUAAUACGGAGGGUGCAAGCGUUAAUCGGAAUUACUGGGCGUAAAGCGCACGCAGGCGGUCUGUCAAGUCGGAUGUGAAAUCCCCGGGCUCAACCUGGGAACUGCAUCCGAAACUGGCAGGCUAGAGUCUUGUAGAGGGGGGUAGAAUUCCAGGUGUAGCGGUUAAAUGCGUAGAGAUCUGGAGGAAUACCGGUGGCGAAGGCGGCCCCCUGGACAAAGACUGACGCUCAGGUGCGAAAGCGUGGGGAGCAAACA
RNAcentral lists this ribosomal RNA (427 nucleotides) under uncultured bacterium. RNAcentral's name for it is "partial 16S ribosomal RNA". It matches the Rfam family "Bacterial small subunit ribosomal RNA", at positions 355 to 774 of the family's 1533-position model. The record is from RNAcentral.